Long non-coding RNA from Micropterus dolomieu (smallmouth bass), 395 nucleotides. RefSeq lists it as uncharacterized. The transcript has 3 exons. NCBI's taxonomy places the organism in Eukaryota, Metazoa, Chordata, Actinopteri, Centrarchiformes, Centrarchidae. The record is from RefSeq and is a predicted model, not a curated record.
UUGGCUGGCUGACUGUCACUCUCCCUCUCCGCCAUGGCUACCAGCCCUGCUGCUACAGGAGCUGCUCCCAUGCGCGCGCCCGAUUAGCUCUCUCAGACCUGACGAGCGAAGCGGUCAAACCGGUGGUUGAUAUCUGCGUGGCUUUUCAACGAUAGUGACAACUGAGGAACGCCAAGGGGCUGACACACCGUGGUGGCUUUAUUUCUGCUGGACAGGUCACCUUUUGGAGUCUUUCAUAACCCUGUGCUUCUCACGGGUAUAUGCUGAUCAGACCAUGCUGGUUGGCCUGGAUUACAACCACCGUGUCCACAGUCAAGCCAGGAGAAAAGCUGAUGACACAGUACAGCAAGGUGUACAACAAAAAGUCCAGGAAGUGGAGAUUGUACUCAUUGAAG